This 293-nucleotide long non-coding RNA is filed under the name Saimiri boliviensis boliviensis (Bolivian squirrel monkey). RNAcentral describes it as "lncRNA (ENSSBOG00000036636.1)". The record is from RNAcentral. Lineage: Eukaryota; Metazoa; Chordata; Mammalia; Primates; Cebidae.
GCCCGCGGUGCACCCCCUCUUUCGCCCUGCCCUCCUUCUCUUCCCACCUACCCACCCCGACACCCCUCGUCCCUCCCCCAACCACUCGGAAUGGAUAGACAGAGUACGUCAAAGUCCUUGGCCUGCUUCCCUGAAUUGUUCCUGUCUUGGCGCAGGACCUGAGACACUGACAGAAGAAAUAUUUUCCACGAAAAUCUCUUUCAACAAAGAGGAACACCAGUGGCAGCGCUGAGGACAGAAUGAGUGUGGGUAAGUAGAAGGGUGAGAUGCCCUCUAGCCAUUCACAGAAUUGA